RNAcentral lists this ribosomal RNA (447 nucleotides) under uncultured bacterium. Its description in RNAcentral is "bacterial SSU rRNA". It matches the Rfam family "Bacterial small subunit ribosomal RNA", at positions 355 to 825 of the family's 1533-position model. The record is from RNAcentral.
UGGGGAAUAUUGGACAAUGGGCGAAAGCCUGAUCCAGCCAUGCCGCGUGAGUGACGAAGGCCUUAGGGUUGUAAAACUCUUUCGUCGGGGACGAUAAUGACGGUACCCGAAGAAGAAGCUCCGGCUAACUUCGUGCCAGCAGCCGCGGUAAUACGAAGGGAGCUAGCGUUGUUCGGAAUCACUGGGCGUAAAGCGCACGUAGGCGGAUAGUUAAGUCAGGGGUGAAAUCCUGGGGCUCAACCCCAGAACUGCCUUUGAUACUGGCCGUCUCGAGGUCGAGAGAGGUUGGUGGAAUUCCUAGUGUAGAGGUGAAAUUCGUAGAUAUUAGGAAGAACACCAGUGGCGAAGGCGGCCAACUGGCUCGAUACUGACGCUGAGGUGCGAAAGCGUGGGGAGCAAACAGGAUUAGAUACCCCAGUAGUCCCUGAGCGGGCUGGCAAGGCGCAU